RNAcentral lists this ribosomal RNA (27 nucleotides) under uncultured Craterellus. Its description in RNAcentral is "partial 18S ribosomal RNA". Lineage: Eukaryota; Fungi; Basidiomycota; Agaricomycetes; Cantharellales; Hydnaceae. The record is from RNAcentral.
CGUGGUGACCUGCGGAAGGAUCAUUCA